GCUAGGCAUGGUGGUGGCACAUGCCUGUAAUCCCAGGAACUUGGGAGGCUGAGGCAGGAGGAUCAUGAGUUCAAAGCCAGCCUCAGCAGAAAUGAGGCACUAAGCAACUCAGUGACACCCUGUCUCUA
RNAcentral lists this small RNA (128 nucleotides) under Marmota monax (woodchuck). Lineage: Eukaryota; Metazoa; Chordata; Mammalia; Rodentia; Sciuridae. The record is from RNAcentral.